This 251-nucleotide ribosomal RNA is filed under the name uncultured prokaryote. Its description in RNAcentral is "partial 16S rRNA". It matches the Rfam family "Bacterial small subunit ribosomal RNA", at positions 525 to 775 of the family's 1533-position model. The record is from RNAcentral.
ACGUAGGGGGCGAGCGUUGUCCGGAAUUACUGGGCGUAAAGGGUGCGUAGGUGGCCUUUUAAGUUGGAUGUGAAAUACCCGGGCUUAACUUGGGGGGUGCAUCUAAUACUGGAGGGCUAGAGUGCAGGAGAGGAAAGCGGAAUUCCUAGUGGCGAGGUGAACAGCGUAGGUAUUAGGAGGAGCACCAGUGGCGAAGGCGGCUUUCUGGACUGUAACUGACUCUGCGGAACGACGGCGUGGGGAGCGAACAG